Molecule: ribosomal RNA, 463 nt
Filed under: uncultured bacterium
Lineage: Bacteria
Description: partial 16S ribosomal RNA
Rfam family: Bacterial small subunit ribosomal RNA
Source: RNAcentral
GACGAACGCUGGCGGCGUCUUAACCCAUGCAAGUCGAACGGAAAGGCCCAGCUUGCUGGGUGCUCGAGUGGCGAACGGGUGAGUAACACGUGGGUGAUCUGCCCCUAACUUCGGGAUAAGCUUGGGAAACUGGGUCUAAUACCGGAUAGGACAAUCGUUUAGUGUCGGUUGUGGAAAGUUUUUUCGGUUAGGGAUGAGCCCGCGGCCUAUCAGCUUGUUGGUGGGGUAAUGGCCUACCAAGGCGUCGACGGGUAGCCGGCCUGAGAGGGUGGACGGCCACAUUGGGACUGAGAUACGGCCCAGACUCCUACGGGAGGCAGCAGUGGGGAAUAUUGCACAAUGGGCGCAAGCCUGAUGCAGCGACGCCGCGUGGGGGAUGACGGCCUUCGGGUUGUAAACCUCUUUCGACAGGGACGAAGCUUUGGUGACGGUACCUGUAUAAGAAGCACCGGCUAACUACGUG